Molecule: microRNA precursor, 206 nt
Filed under: Oryza sativa Indica Group (long-grained rice)
Lineage: Eukaryota; Viridiplantae; Streptophyta; Magnoliopsida; Poales; Poaceae
Description: MIR812 microRNA precursor family
Rfam family: MIR812 microRNA precursor family
Source: Rfam by way of RNAcentral
AAAAAAAACAAACUCUGCUUUUCGUGCCCAACGUUUGACCGUCCAUCUUAUUUGAAAAAAAUAUUAAAAAAAAUAAAAAGACAAGUCACGCAUAAAAUAUUAAUCAUAUUUUAUCAUCUAACAACAACGAAAAUACGAAUUAUAAAAAAAUUUCAUAUGAGACGGACAGUCAAAGUUGGACACGGAAACACAGGGUUUGUCUUUUU